This 73-nucleotide transfer RNA is filed under the name Butyrivibrio sp. RNAcentral describes it as "tRNA-Phe". It matches the Rfam family "tRNA". From Rfam's summary of the family: Transfer RNA (tRNA) molecules are approximately 80 nucleotides in length. Their secondary structure includes four short double-helical elements and three loops (D, anti-codon, and T loops). RNAcentral also lists the same sequence under 1 other name. The record is from RNAcentral. Lineage: Bacteria; Bacillati; Bacillota; Clostridia; Lachnospirales; Lachnospiraceae.
GGGCGGUAAGCUAAUCAGGUGAAAGCGCCGGACUGAAGAUCCGGAGAGCAGGGUUCGAUACCCUGACCGCCCA